GACGAACGCUGGCGGCGUGCUUAACACAUGCAAGUCGAACGGAAAGGCCCUUCGGGGUACUCGAGUGGCGAACGGGUGAGUAACACGUGGGUGAUCUGCCCUGCACUUUGUGAUAAGCCUGGGAAACUGGGUCUAAUACCGAAUAGGACCGCGCGCUUCAUGGUGUGUGGUGGAAAGCUUUUGCGGUGUGUGAUGGGCCCGCUGCCUAUCAGCUUGUUGGUGGGGUAAUGGCCUACCAAGGCGACGACGGGUAGCCGGCCUGUGAGGGUGACCGGCCACACUGGGACUGAGAUACGGACCAGACUCGUACGGGAGGCAGCAGGGGGAAAUAUUGCACAAUGGGCGCAAGCGUGAUGCAGCGACGCCGCGUGAGGGAUGACGGCCUUCGGGUUGUAAACCACUUUCACCAGGGACGAAGCGGAAGUGACGGUACCUGGAGAAGAAGCACCGGCCAACUACGUG
RNAcentral lists this ribosomal RNA (462 nucleotides) under uncultured bacterium. RNAcentral's name for it is "partial 16S ribosomal RNA". It matches the Rfam family "Bacterial small subunit ribosomal RNA", at positions 28 to 507 of the family's 1533-position model. The record is from RNAcentral.